CCUACGGGAGGCAGCAGUGGGGAAUAUUGCACAAUGGGGGAAACCCUGAUGCAGCGACGCCGCGUGAGUGAAGAAGUAUUUCGGUACGUAAAGCUCUAUCAGCAGGGAAGAAAAAAGGACGUUACCUGAGUAAGAAGCCCCGGCUAACUACGUGCCAGCAGCCGCGGUAAUUCGGUGGGUGCGAGCGUUAAUCGAAAUUAAUGGGCGGAAAGCGCUCGUAGGCGGUAUGGCAAGUCAAGGGUGAAAUCCCCGGGCUCAACGUGGGAACUGCCUUUGAAACUGGCAAACUGGAGUGUGAGAGAGGAUAGUGGAAGUCCAGGUGAAGGAGUGAAAUCCGUAGAUAUAUGGAGGAACACCAGUGGCGAAGGCGACUAUCUGGCACAUAACUGACGCUGAGGAGCGAAAGCGUGGGUAGCAAACAGGAUUAGAUACCCCAGUAGUC
Molecule: ribosomal RNA, 442 nt
Filed under: uncultured bacterium
Lineage: Bacteria
Description: partial 16S ribosomal RNA
Rfam family: Bacterial small subunit ribosomal RNA
Source: RNAcentral